GUGAGAGGAAAUAAGUGUAUGCUGCUUGCUCGAUUGGCUCAUGAGUAUGGACCAGAGGUUGACUGAGGCGGCUCAAAUACGAGAUAUUGGUGAGAGAUUGAGGCAGGCCGCUCGAGCAGGAGAUAUUGACGCGUUGCAUGCUCUAAUCCGUGAAGAUACUCGUGUUUUGGAACGUGUCGAUGAGGUGCCUUUUGUUGACACUCCAUUGCAUAUAGCUGCAUCUGCAGGACAUAUUCAAUUUGCUAUGGAGAUAGUGAACUUGAAGGCAUAGUUUACCAGGAAGCUAAACCCAGAUGGGUUUAGCCCCAUGCAC
RNAcentral lists this unclassified non-coding RNA (313 nucleotides) under Hevea brasiliensis (rubber tree). The record is from RNAcentral. Lineage: Eukaryota; Viridiplantae; Streptophyta; Magnoliopsida; Malpighiales; Euphorbiaceae.